GCUCGCAUAGCUCAGUUGGUAGAGCGCGUGACUAGUAUAAUGUGAAUUUCAGAAAUCUGAAAUUCGUCGUUGAAAUCACGAGGUCAGCGGUUCAAGUCCGCUUGUGAGCA
Molecule: transfer RNA, 110 nt
Organism: Aspergillus nidulans FGSC A4
Lineage: Eukaryota; Fungi; Ascomycota; Eurotiomycetes; Eurotiales; Aspergillaceae
Rfam family: tRNA
About the family: Transfer RNA (tRNA) molecules are approximately 80 nucleotides in length. Their secondary structure includes four short double-helical elements and three loops (D, anti-codon, and T loops). Further hydrogen bonds mediate the characteristic L-shaped molecular structure. tRNAs have two regions of fundamental functional importance: the anti-codon, which is responsible for specific mRNA codon recognition, and the 3' end, to which the tRNAs corresponding amino acid is attached (by aminoacyl-tRNA synthetases). tRNAs cope with the degeneracy of the genetic code in two manners: having more than one tRNA (with a specific anti-codon) for a particular amino acid; and 'wobble' base-pairing, i.e. permitting non-standard base-pairing at the 3rd anti-codon position.
Source: Rfam